GCUGUGUGUGGUGGUGCACACCUGUAGUCCCAGCUACUCAGGAGACUGAGGCAGGAGGAUUGCUUGAGCCCAGGAGGCUGAGGCUGCAGUGAGCCAUCAUGGUGCCACUGCACCCUAGCCUGGGUGACAGAGCAAGACCAUGUCUCAA
Unclassified non-coding RNA from Macaca fascicularis (crab-eating macaque), 148 nucleotides. It matches the Rfam family "Metazoan signal recognition particle RNA". Rfam says of the family: The signal recognition particle (SRP) is a universally conserved ribonucleoprotein. It is involved in the co-translational targeting of proteins to membranes. The eukaryotic SRP consists of a 300-nucleotide 7S RNA and six proteins: SRPs 72, 68, 54, 19, 14, and 9. The record is from Ensembl. NCBI's taxonomy places the organism in Eukaryota, Metazoa, Chordata, Mammalia, Primates, Cercopithecidae.